CCUGUAUCCAACAGUUCUAACUCUGGUUUUCUCCAUUUUCAGCUCUUUCUUUUCCUGGCCUUCUCAUUGCUGGUUCCUGCAAGCUCCCCCUCUAUUCUUCGCCCAAUAUAUUCUUUAGUCCAAAGUAAACUACUUCUUCCCAUUCCCCACACUCUCCAGUCCUCUCUCCUCCCUUAUUGCAGGCUCCAGUGUUCCUGCCUUCUCCUUGGUGCACUUGCCAUCUGCAUUAACC
Molecule: long non-coding RNA, 232 nt
Filed under: Homo sapiens (human)
Lineage: Eukaryota; Metazoa; Chordata; Mammalia; Primates; Hominidae
Description: lncAB386.1
Source: RNAcentral